AUUCCCUAGUACGGCGAGUGAAGCGGGAAGAGCUCAAAUUUGAAAUCUGGUGGCCUCAGGUCAUCCGAGUUGUAAUCUAUAGAAGUGUUUUCCGUGCUGGCUCAUGUACAAGUCCCUUGGAACAGGGCGUCAUAGAGGGUGAGAAUCCCGUCCUUGACAUGAACUACCAGUGCUCUGUGAUACAUUUUCAACGAGUCGAGUUGUUUGGGAAUGCAGCUCAAAAUGGGUGGUAAAUUCCAUCUAAAGCUAAAUAUUGGCGAGAGACCGAUAGCGAACAAGUACCGUGAGGGAAAGAUGAAAAGCACUUUGGAAAGAGAGUUAAACAGUAUGUGAAAUUGUUGAAAGGGAAACGAUUGAAGUCAGUCGUGCUCUUUGGAUUCAGCCGGUUCUGCCGGUGUACUUCCUUUGAGUGGGGUCAACAUCAGUUUUGAUCGCUGGAUAAAGGCUGGAGGAACGUAGUACCCUCGGGUAAACUUAUAGCCUCCUGUCACAUACAGUGGUUGGGACUGAGGAACGCAGCACGCCUUUAUGGCCGGGAUUCGUCCACGUACGUGCUUAGGAUGUUGACAUAAUGGCUUUAAACGACCCGUCUUGAACAACGGGACCAC
This 608-nucleotide ribosomal RNA is filed under the name Filobasidium magnum. Its description in RNAcentral is "eukaryotic LSU rRNA". It matches the Rfam family "Eukaryotic large subunit ribosomal RNA", at positions 74 to 664 of the family's 3401-position model. The record is from RNAcentral. Lineage: Eukaryota; Fungi; Basidiomycota; Tremellomycetes; Filobasidiales; Filobasidiaceae.